AGUGAACGCUGGCGGUAGGCCUAAUACAUGCAAGUCGAGCGGACGCAUGAUGAGCUCUCGCCCUUACGGGUAGCGGGUGGCGGGUGGGUAACACAUGCAUCAGCUUCUUCUUAUUCGUGGGGGAUAACGUGAGAACACUGCUACUAAUACCGCAUAUGACGUACCGGUUAAAUCAGUAGAUAUACGCGCCUUUCGCGAUUCAAUUAGCCGGUGCCGGAUUAGCUAGUUGGCGUGGUAAAGGCCCACCAAGGCGACGAUGCGUAGCUGAUCUGAGAGGAUGAUCAGCCACACUGGAACUGAGACACGGUCCAGACUCCUACGGGAGGCAGCAGUGGGGAAUAUUCGACAAUGGGCGAAAGCCUGAUGCAGCCAUACCGCGUGAGUGAAGAAGGCCUUCGGGUUGUAAAGCCCUUUUGUUGGGAAAGAAAAGCAGCAUGUUAAUACCUCGCUGUUCUGACGGUACCCAAUGAAUAAGCAACGGCUAACUUCGUG
Molecule: ribosomal RNA, 492 nt
Filed under: uncultured bacterium
Lineage: Bacteria
Description: partial 16S ribosomal RNA
Rfam family: Bacterial small subunit ribosomal RNA
Source: RNAcentral